UUGGGCCACUAUUCAGAAAUCCCAAGGCACCAAAGACAACGGUCCAUGGAGACUUGCUGAAGGCAGAUGAUUGCAUCGAAUGGCUUGACACAAAGCCACCUUCAUCCGUUGUUUAUGUGUCUUUCGGUAGUGUCGUACAAUUGAAGCAAGACCAAUGGAACGAGAUCGCUUAUGGGUUAUUGAAUUCGGGCGUCUCCUUCUUGUUAGCUAUGAAACCACCCCACAAAGAUGCAGGACAUGACCUCCUUGUUCUGCCAGAUGGGUUCUCGGAGAAAGCAGGAGACAGGGGCAAGGUGGUGCAAUGGAGUCCUCAAGAGAAGGUUUUAGCUCACCCGUCAGUUGCGUGCUUUGUAACUCAUUGUGGGUGGAACUCUACUAUGGAAGCACUCACAUCAGGCAUGCCAGUGGCGGCUUUCCCUCAAUGGGGUGAUCAAGUAACUAAUGCAAAAUAUUUGGUCGACAUCCUUAAGGUUGGUGUGAGAAUGAGCCGCGGAGAAGCAGAGAACAAACUGAUUACUCGUGAUGAGAUAGAGAAAUGCUUGUUGGAGGCCACAGCGGGACCUAAGGCAGUGGAAAUGAAGGAGAAUGCAAUGAAAUGGAAGGAGGCAGCGGAGGCAGCAGUGGCUGAGGGUGGUUCCUCCGACUGGAAUAUACGAUAUUUUACGGAAGAUAUUGUAAAAGCGAAUGAGUCUGAGAUUGCAGGGAAGUGCAAUGGUUCUAAUGAGUUUCCAGUGUCGGUAGUGGUGAAGUCCAUUGAGAAAGUGGCUGAACUGGUGGGGUCAUCGGCAUGAGGGGAUUUGCUUUAUAUGCAGUGAAUAUGGAACUGGUCUAAUCCACUGUUAGUAUGAUGAAAUUAGUCUUGUUAUGUACUUGUCUACUUUUUACUUCUUUUAAUUAGAUAUUAAUAAUAUACAGUAAAGGCCAAAUGCCAUAUGUAUGGUUGUUAUCGAAUUUCUGUACUUUCCUAUUUAUAAUUUGCUAAAAUCUUAUUCGUUUGAAUUGCUUGUAAUGGUUGUUGAAAAUUAAAAUUGUUGUAAUAUUUUUAGUUUUUAUUAUAUUUAUGAUUGUCUUAUGAUUUGAGUAUAAAUUUCAUUAUAUCUAGGAUUUUUAUAAUGUCGAGCAUUAUUCAAAACUCAAAGAAAUUAUUAGAACCGUAUGGGUUGAUAUUUUAAGAAAGUAAGUGAUAGAUUAUCAAGUGGGCGGAGGACAACAAAUUCUAAACUUUCUAGUUUUGAAAAUAUAGUGUCUCAAUGAUUUUUUCAGUCUUCAAGAAAGGAUCAUGCAUGGUUAAGAAUUUAACAUCACAACUCUUGAACGUGAUCUAGAAUUAUAUUGGCAAAUAUUUGAAUUUUUAGUUAAUAAUUCUGACAAUAUUCAAAGAGUAUAUAUACAUUGAUCUUGGCCCAUAUGUACAUCUUAGUCAUGCAGAUGGAGCACAAUAUCGAAGGUUUCAAUAUAAGCCAUUUAAGCAUAUUUUUGGCUUGAGUAUUCUGUUGCCAAAGAUAUGACAUUUUGUUUUCCUUGCUUUCAUUUUAAUAAUGAAUAACAUAAAAGAGAGACUCAUCAUUCCAAUACAUAUAGCACGUCUAUAAGGAAUCGAGGGUUUCGGGCUCCUCGAUAGUUGCUCCCAGUAUAAUGAUCAGUCACCUGCUAGAAAGAAAAAUAUAUAGCUUUGAGCAAACGACAGUAAUUGUAGGACGCAAGUGAAGUGAAUUGGGUUGAUAUUGGGUUCGUUAUACAACAAAUAAUGCAAGGUAAGGGCGGUUUCUGCUAAGAAACGUGAACAGUGGAGGUUGCACGCAGAGAAGGAGAAGAGGAAAAUAAAGGAGGUGGAAACUGACCUGCAGUGGCGGUGCUGUUGUUGAUGGUGGGCGAAGAUGAGGACUGGCGGAGGACGCUGCUGGUUGUUUUUCCUCUUUCUCAGUAUUUUCCUUUUGCCUUUCUUCUCUUAUCUUUUCUCCUUCCCUCUGUUUUUCUGUUCUUCUUCUUUUGUUCUCUAGCGGUGGUAAUGCUACUGGUGGCGGCGUUGUGGCUGCUGGCGAUGGUUCCCGGCGAGGAAAGGUUCUUCUUCCUAACUAGGUGGCUGUGCAAUAGGGAGCUGUUGUGUGUGCCGGUCGACAGUUCUUUUUCUGUGUGUUUAUCCAGGAAGGUUCUUCUGAUGGGCUGCAUAUAUACUUGGGCCCAUCCAGGAAGGGACGUGCCUGUCAUUUUAGCAAAUAAACUGUACCCCUCCUCCUUAUUAUUUACUAGAUUUUUUUUUUUCAUCUUUUUUUAUUUUUUUUUAAUUUUAAUUUUAUUGUUUAAUAUUUUUUUUUAUUAAAGAUGAAGUUUUAUAAUUUAUAUAAUUUAUUUUUUAUAAAGUUAUGUAACAUGAACACAUAACUUUUUAAUUUAAAAAGAUCAUUUAUUGAUGUGAUUAUUUUUUAAUUUUAUUUAUAUAAUUAUUUUGAUGUGUUAAUAUUAAAAAUAAAUUUUAAAAUAUAUAAAAUAUAUAUAUUAUUUUAAUUUUUUUUUAAAAAAAUAACUUUUAUUACAAUGAUUGAGUACUAAUAAAGUGCAUCGAGAAUCUUAAAGUGGAUCGAAAUUUUUAAAAUAAGAUAUAACAAUCACAAUCACUUUUCAACGAUGAUGAUUACUCGUUUUAAUUUUUUCUUUUUUUUUUCUUCAUGAUGAACUUUUAAAACUUUUAUUUAUUUAUUUCUAUUUUUUUUUUUAGAUUUGAUACACGAUUACGAUUAACACUUUGAUUUGAGUUUUGUCAUUUUAUCUUUUUAGUUUUUUUAGAAUGCGUUUGGGAGUGUGGUUGUUAUUACUUUUUAAAUUAUUUUUUAUUUUAAAAAAUAUGUUAAUAAUUUUUUUUUAUUUUUUAAAAAUUAUUUUAAAAAUUAAUACAUUAAAAUAAUUUAAUAACAUCAAAAAUAUAUUAAUUUAAAAUAAAAAAAUUUAAAUUUUUUAAAAAUCACUUUUUAAUAACAAUUCCAAACCCCCUCUUAUCUUUUUAGUUUUUUUAAAGUGUGUUUGAGAAUGUAAUUGUUGUUAUUUUUAAAUUAUUUUUUAUUUUAAAAAAUAUAUUAAUAAUUUUUUUUAUUUUUUAAAAAUUAUUUUUAAGAUUAAUACAUCAAAAUAAUUUAAAAAUAUUAAAAAUAUAUUAAUUUAAAAUAAAAAAAAUUUAAAUUUUUUAAAAAACAAGCAAUUCCAAACCCCCUCUUAUCUGCAUACCCACAAUGCCAGGCGUCAUUGCCUGCGUCUAUACUUUGCUGAGUUGUCCUUCGUGAUUUUUCCAUAUACAGUGAUUUGUCCAUCGCCUGCCCUCCUUAACCUCAUCUCUCUUUCUCGCGCUCGUUGUGUGAACUGUGAAGUCAUAGAAGUCUUGAAGGAAAACAAAGAAGAAGAAAUUCAUGUGCUAAUGGCGGCACUCUCAUCUCAGGGUCACUUAAACCCCAUGCUUAGACUAGGUAAACGCUUAGUCAAUAAAGGUCUCCAUGUCACACUGGCCACCACUGAAUUCACCGGUCACCGCAUGCUCAAAUCUUCCACCAUCAACCCCACCUCCUCCCCCAUCUCAAUCUCUGGAGUCCAAGUUCGCUUCUUCUCUGAUGGUCAAAGCCUAAACUACGACCGCAUGGUUAAUUACGAAUCGUACAAGAAGAGUUUAGCCAAAUUUGGAACCAUCAAUCUCUCAAACCUUAUAAAGGAGCAUUUCCCCAGUAAUGGUCACAAAAAGCUCUCUUGCAUCAUCACCAACCCAUUUGUUACCUGGGUAGCUGAUGUUGCCAUCAAUCAUGGAAUUCCCUGUGCCAUGUUUUGGAUACAGCCAUGUUCACUUUAUGCCAUUUAUUAUCGCUUUUACAAUAAGCUAAACUCAUUUCCUACUUUAACAGAUCCUGAUAUGAGUGUUGAGUUGCCAGGCUUGCCACUGUUAUACAGAAGAUUUACCUUCCUUUGUUCUUCCUUCAAUUCCAUUUGGUAGCUUGCCUAAAAUGUUCCCAGAGAUGUUCCAGAACAUGAAGAGGUAUAAAUGGGUUCUUGGGAACUCAUUCUUUGGGCUUGAGAAAGAUGCUAUUGAAUCCAUGGCUGAUCUCUGCCCUAUUAGUCCCAUUGGCCCUCUAGUUCCUCCAUCACUUCUUGGUGAAGAUGAAGAUCACGAUACGGGUGUCGAGAUGUGGAAAGCAGAAGAUACUUGCAUUGAUUGGUUAAACAAGGAAGCCCCUUCUUCAGAUAUACGUAUCUUUUGGAAGCCUUGUUGUCUUAUCAGCAAAACAAAUGGAGUGCAUAGCAAAAGCCCUGAAGAACAGUAACAGUCCAUUUAUUUGGGUGGUUAAGCAACCAGACUUACCAGAACCUGAUGGUGCAGGACAAUUGCCAUUAGGGUUCUUGGAGGAGACGACAGACCAAGGGGUGGUUGUAUCAUGGUCUCCACAAACCAAAGUUUUAGCCCACCCAGCUAUUGCGUGUUUUAUAACUCACUGUGGAUGGAAUUCUGUGUUAGAAACAAUUGCUGCAGGCGUGCCGGUGAUUGCAUACCCCAAGUGGAGCGACCAGCCAACAAAUGCAAAACUUAUUGUUGAUGUUUUUCGCAUUGGUCUAAGGCUUAGAGCAAAUCAAGAUGGGAUUGUUAGCAACGAGGAAGUUGAAAGAUGUAUUAGAGAGAUCAUGGACGGACCAAAGUCUGUGGAGCUUAAAUCCAAUGCAAGGGAAUUGAGGAUCGCGGCAAGAGAGGCAGUUGCCGGUGGUGGUUCAUCGGACAAGAAUAUUCUGUUGUUUGUAGAUGAAAUUAUUGAGAGUUGUGGUUCAAUUGAAGUAUGCAAUGUAGAAUGCAAGGUUCCUCAUCAAUAUACACAAGGCAACGAAGGCCAAUAAUUGUGAUUGGAUAAUGCUAGGAUUACUGCGUUUUUUUAUUAAGUUUUGUUUAAUUACCUGUUAUUUAUUCCAAGGAAAGAAUUUCAAAUCAUGAAAUGUAGAUCAUAUCAUAUUUAAGACUAUGUUACUCUACUUUUAGCACUAACAAUGGUAAUUUUUCUAACCGGACUGAAGAAAUAUACGUGGUCUGGAUGUGCGAAAACCGAUGCUAUUAAAAUAAAAUAAAAUAAAAUAAUGCUCUAUAUAUUGAUAUUGAUGGAAUAUUCAUGCCUGCAACAGUAGUUCAUUGCAAUAUGCUUUUAAAAAAUAUAUUUUUAAAUUUUUAUCAUUAUAUUAUCAAAAUUAUUGAAAAACAUAAAAGGAAUUUUAAUUUAAUAUUUUUUUCAAAAUAAAUAUAUUUUUUAAACAUUCAAUAUCAAAAGCUGCUGCAAUUUCAAGUCCCAAACACCACCUUAAACUUAUGGACAAGAAAGUAAUUUUUUUAAAAUAUUUUUUUAUUUAAAAAUAUAUUGAAAUAAAAUAUUUUUUUAAAAUUUAUUUUUAAUACUAUUUAAAAAAUACAUAAAAAAUUAAUUUAAAAUAAAUAAAAAAAUAAAAUAAAUAUUAAAGUUAUUUAAUAAUAUUUUUAUCGCACAGGCAGGCCAACGUUUCGUUCGCAGCAAAUAAGUUAAUGGAUUGUGACAGCAUUUCAAUUCUUAUACCCAUAUAAGAUGUUCUUCAAAAUAGUAAGAAACGCGGUAAAAAAUGUGUAUUUAAGGGCUAAACGACACCUCUUGGGUUGUUCUCGUUUUAUAUUUGAUGGGUAAUAACCCUGCUAAACGCACCUCUGGGGUUGUUGGCCUGGGUUUUGGUAAGGGCUAGGUUCCCUUGCUGUUUUUUUCUUCUUCUUUUUAAUUCUUUUCUUUUUCUCGAAGCAUGGAACAAUAAAAAAAACAAUUUAGUUCAUAAAUAUUUUUAAAUUUUAUUCUCUCGUAUUUAAGAAUUAUUAUGUUGUGGCUUGCUAGGUAGGCUCAUCGUGCAACCAAAUUAAUCAAACCCAAAAAAAAGAAGAGAUUUUGAUCAUCAUCCCUCUCUGCUUUUUCUUAAGGAAAUAUAUUGAUUCUCCCUCUAAUCUAAACUAAUGGCAAGAAUUUCUAUAUCAAUGUGAGUUUCCAAUAAAUUAUUUUAGGUAUUUUCAAAAUUAUAAAAGUAUCUUUCAAUAGAAAAACAAAACAAUAUAUAUUCUAAACACAAAUAUAUGAUACAAAUAGCGUAUCGCUGAGUGGUGAGUGGUGAAUAUCCCUUCUUAGCAUGACGUGCUGGAAAGCAUAUACUAGCUAGUGCAGAAUCUUUCAUAGACAGCCAGAAGUCAAGGAAUGAAGUGCACUUGCACUAGUAACUAAUCUUCUUCAUUCAAUCGGAAUAACUUGUUGGUUACCCGAUGUCUUGGGUUUCUGAGUGUUUUUCAAAGAUUUUCAAACAUGUCUUAACUACGUACUGAUCAUUUCCAUGAUCGGAAAAAGAGAAUAGUAAUCGACAUGCAAAAUUGCAAAUAGAUGUGUUUCUCGCUUCUAUAUAUAAUCACAUUAUACAUUAUGCUCUAAUAUGACUGCACAAUCAUUGAAAGCUACAGUUAACUAUUAGCGUAAUCAAAUUUGAUUUCAUCUUCUGUUCCAAGAAGCCAAGGAAAGAGUUAUAAUUGAAACAUUGUAUGCAUUUGACCGUCAGCCAACUAACAGUCCAUCACUAAAAACUUUGAAUGCAACUCCUUAUAAAUGCUAAAUGUAUCUGCAUCCUGUCUUUCCAUGCUCACCACUCAUUCCCAAACUCAUCAAGUCCUCUACUGUUCAUCAAUCUCUUCCGUCUCUCUGCCUGUAAGAAAACCCCGGAAGAGAAAAAUGGUUUCCGAGUCUCUUGGCCAUCUCUUCCUUGUUUCUUUCCCAGCCCAAGGCCAUGUAAAUCCUUUACUUAGACUUGGAAAAAUUCUUGCCUCCAAAGGCUUCCUUGUCACCUUCUCCACUACUGAAACCAUUGGCAAACAGAUGAGAAAAGCCAGUGGCUUCAUAGAUAAGCUGACCCCGUUUGGUGAUGGCUUUAUCCGGUUUGAGUUCUUUGAAGAUGGAUGGACAGAGGACGAGGAUAGGCACCAAGACCUUGAUCAAUACUUACUUCAACUUGAGCUUGUUGGUAAACAAGUAAUUCCUCAAAUGAUCAAGAAAAAUGAAGAGCAAGGGCGGCCUGUUUGUUGCCUCAUAAACAACCCUUUCAUUCCUUGGGUUACAGAUGUGGCCACAAGUCUAGGUCUCCCUUCUGCAAUGCUUUGGGUUCAAUCCUGCGCUUGUUUUGCCUCAUAUUACCAUUUCUAUCACGGUACUGUACCUUUCCCUGAUGAGGAGCACCCCGAGAUAGAUGUCCAAUUACCAUGCAUGCCUCUCCUAAAACAUGAUGAAGUGCCUAGUUUCUUACAUCCUACAACUCCUUAUGCUAUCUUGAGGAGGGCUAUUUUAGGUCAGUACAAAAAUCUUGACAAGCCAUUUUGCAUCCUGAUGGAAACAUUCGAUGAGCUUGAACCAGAGCUUAUCAAGCACAUGUCCGAAAUCUUCCCCAUCAAGGCCGUUGGGCCACUAUUCAGAAAUCCCAAGGCACCACAGACAACGGUCCAUGGAGACUUGCUGAAGGCAGAUGACUGCAUCGAAUGGCUUGACACAAAGCCACCUUCAUCAGUUGUUUAUGUGUCUUUCGGUAGUGUCGUGCAAUUGAAGCAAGACCAAUGGAACGAGAUCGCUUAUGGGUUAUUGAAUUCGGGCGUCAACUUCUUGUUAGUUAUGAAACCAGCCCACAAAGAUGCAGGACAUGACCUCCUUGUUCUGCCAGAUGGGUUCUCGGAGAAAGCAGGAGACAGGGGCAAGGUGGUGCAAUGGAGUCCUCAAGAGAAGGUUUUAGCUCACCCGUCAGUUGCGUGCUUCGUAACACAUUGUGGGUGGAACUCUACUAUGGAAGCACUCACAUCAGGCAUGCCAGUGGCGGCUUUCCCUCAAUGGGGUGAUCAAGUAACUAAUGCAAAAUAUUUGGUCGACAUCCUUAAGGUUGGUGUGAGAAUGAGCCGCGGAGAAGCAGAGAACAAACUGAUUACUCGUGAUGAGAUAGAGAAAUGCUUGUUGGAGGCCACAGCGGGACCUAAGGCAAUGGAAAUGAAGGAGAAAGCAAUGAAAUGGAAGGAGGCAGCGGAGGCAGCAGUGGCUGAGGGUGGUUCCUCCGACUGGAAUAUACGAUAUUUUACGGACGAUAUUGUAAAAGCGAAUGAGUCUGAGAUUGCUGGGAAGUGCAUUGGUUCUAAUGAGUUUCCAGUGUCGGUAGUAGUGAAGUCCAACGAGAAAGUGGCUGAACUGGUGGGGUCAUCGGCAUGAGGAGAUUUGCUAUAUGUGCUGUGAACGUGGAACUGGUUUAAUCCAGUGCUGUUAGUAUGGUGAAAUUAAUUACUCUUGUUAUGUAGUUGUCUACUUUUUACUUCUUUUAAUUAGCUAUUAAUAACAUAUAGCCAAGUGCCAUAUAAAGGCCAUAUGUAUCAUUUUAAGGUAUUGUUGAGUUGUUGUUGUAGUGUAAUUUCAAAAGUAACAAUUGUACCUGAUUUCUUGUGUUUUUAAGGUAUCGAUCGACAAUGCCGCUGGUAUUGUGUUUGCUAAAAAAAAAUAUAUUUUUAAAGUUAUUUUUUCUAUAUUUUUAUAUGAUUUUGAUAUAAUAAUAUUAAUAAUAAAAUUUAAAAAAUAAAAAAUAAAUUAUUUUAAUAUAUUUUCAAGUAAAAAAUAUUUUGAAAAUCAACCAUUAUCACAUACCACUAAAUUUGAUUUUUUAUUAAAUUAAUUUUUUUAUAUUUUUGAAUUGUUUUGAUGUGCUGAUGUUAAAAAUAAAAUAUAUAUUAUUUUAAUGUAUUUCUGAACGAAAAACACUUUAAAAAACAACCACUAACACAAUAUUAAACAUUAGUGUAUUACAACAUAUACACCAUUUAUGCAUCUUUUUCUUCCUCACUAGUGUUUAAAUUAACAUUAUUAGCAAAGAAAAAAAAAUAGCAAACGAGCAUGUUUUUCAAAAUAAUUUAAUUCAUAAAAUAUUUUAAAUUUUAUUUUCUUGUAUUUAAGAAUUAUUAUGUUGCGGCUAUCUAGGUAGACUCAUCGUGCAACCAAAUUAAUCCAACCCAAAAUAAAGAGAGAUUUUGAUCAUUAUCUCUCUCUGUCUUUUCUUAAGGAAAUAUAUUGAUUCUCCCUCUAAUCUAGACUAAUGGCAAGAAUUUCUAUAUCAAUGUGAGUUUCCAAUAAAUUAUUUUAAGUAUUUUCAAAAUUAUAAAACAAUCUUUCAAUAGAAAAACAAAACAAUAUUCCAAACACAAAUAUAUAAUACAAAGUUUUCAUAUUGAGUAGCAUGAAAAAAAAUUCCAAUCUCAACCAAUCCUUAAUGUUUUGGAAUGCAUAAUUCACUGCUAUCAUUUAUUAACUUUAAUAUAAUUUAUUUAUAUAAAAAAAGUAUGAUUUUGUUUUCUAUAAAAAAAUAGUACUCUGCAAAUCACAAAUGACACACACAAGUUGAUCAGAACCAUUCACCAGCACAAAACACUAUUAGAUGUACACUAUUCACGUCUUCUGCAGAGUGAAGCAGACCUCGAACUCAUGUUCAAAACAGCUGUAAUAACUGGUAGCUGUUGAAGUGGCACCAUUUAACUGGUCUCUCGUUCUGCUUCAAAGGAUGGCCUCACUUACAGAUUUGAAACUGGAAGCCUGUCUUUUUUUUGGCUCUGAAAGGGAUUCUCUUGUCUGCUUUUGUAGGUCUGUAAUUUUUUGGGAGCUUCGGCUUCUCUCAUCAGGAUUCAAUUGGAUGUUGCUGGGAACUCCGAACAAUACAAAUAUCGUAUUGCUGAGUGGUGAAUAUCCCUUCUUAGCAUGACGUGCUGGAAAGCAUAUACUGGCUAGUGCAGAAUCUUUCAUAGACAAACCAGAAGUCAAGGAAUGAAGUGCACUCGCAAUAGUAACUAAUCUUCUUCAUUCAAUCGGUAUAACUUGUUGGUUACCCGAUGUCUUGGGUUUCUGAGUGUUGCAAAAUCAUUGAAAGCUACAGUUAACUAUUAGCGUAAUCAAAUUUGAUUUCAUCUUCUGUUCCAAGAAGCCAAGGAAAGAGUUAUAAUUGAAACAUUGUAUGCAUUUGACCGUCAGCCAACUAACAGUCCAUCACUAAAAACUUUGAAUGCAACUCCUUAUAAAUGCUAUAUGUAUCUGCAUCCUUUCUUUCCAUGCUCACCACUCCUUCCCAAACUCAUCAAGUCCUCUACUGUUCAUCAAUCUCUUCCGUCUCUCUGCCUGUAAGAAAACCCCGGAAGAGAAAAAUGGUUUCCGAGUCUCUUGGCCAUCUCUUCCUUGUUUCUUUCCCAGCCCAAGGCCAUGUAAAUCCUUUACUUAGACUUGGAAAAAUUCUUGCCUCCAAAGGCUUCCUUGUCACCUUCUCCACUGCAGAAACCACUGGCGAACAGAUGAGAAAAGCCAGUGGCAUCAUAGAUAAGCUGACCCCGUUUGGUGAUGGCUUUAUCCGGUUUGAAUUCUUUGUAGAUGGAUGGGAAGAGGACGAGCCUAGGCGCCAAGACCUUGAUCAAUACUUACCUCAACUUGAGCUUGUUGGUAAACAAGUAAUUCCUCAAAUGAUCAAGAAAAAUGAAGAGCAAGGGCGGCCUGUUUCUUGCCUCAUAAACAACCCUUUCAUUCCUUGGGUUACAGAUGUGGCUACAAGUCUAGGUCUCCCUUCUGCAAUGCUUUGGGUUCAAUCCUGCGCUUGUUUUGCCUCAUAUUACCAUUACUAUCACGGUACUGUACCUUUCCCUGAUGAGGAGCACCCCGAGAUAGAUGUCCAAUUACCAUGCAUGCCUCUCCUAAAACAUGAUGAAGUGCCUAGUUUCUUGCAUCCCACAACUCCUUAUCCUUUCUUGAGGAGGGCUAUUUUAGGUCAGUACAAAAAUCUUGACAAACCAUUUUGCAUCCUGAUGGAAACAUUCGAAGCGCUUGAACCAGAGCUUAUCAAGCACAUGUCCGAAAUCUUCCCCAUCAAGGCCGUUGGGCCACUAUUCAGAAAUCCCAAGGCACCACAGACAACGGUCCAUGGAGACUUGCUGAAGGCAGAUGAUUGCAUCGAAUGGCUUGACACAAAGCCACCUUCAUCAGUUGUUUAUGUGUCUUUCGGUAGUGUCGUCAAUUGAAGCAAGACCAAUGGAACGAGAUCGCUUAUGGGUUAUUGAAUUCGGGCGUCAACUUCUUGUUAGUUAUGAAACCAGCCCACAAAGAUGCAGGACAAGACCUCCUUGUUCUGCCAGAUGGGUUCUUGGAGAAAGCAGGAGACAGGGGCAAGGUGGUGCAAUGGAGUCCUCAAGAGAAGGUUUUAGCUCACCCAUCAGUUGCGUGCUUUGUAACUCAUUGUGGGUGGAACUCUACUAUGGAAGCACUCACAUCAGGCAUGCCAGUGGUGGCUUUCCCUCAAUGGGGUGAUCAAGUAACUAAUGCAAAAUAUUUGGUCGACAUCCUUAAGGUUGGUGUGAGAAUGAGCCGCGGAGAAGCGGAGAACAAACUGAUUACUCGUGAUGAGAUAGAGAAAUGCUUGUUGGAGGCCACAGCGGGACCUAAGGCAGUGGAAAUGAAGGAGAAAGCAAUGAAAUGGAAGGAGGCAGCGGAGGCAGCAGUGGCUGAGGGUGGUUCCUCCGACUGGAAUAUACGAUAUUUUACGGACGAUAUUGUAAAAGCGAAUGAGUCUGAGAUUGCUGGGAAGUGC
This 11640-nucleotide long non-coding RNA is filed under the name Populus tremula. RNAcentral's name for it is "long non-coding RNA (PTRE_LNC002895)". The record is from RNAcentral. Lineage: Eukaryota; Viridiplantae; Streptophyta; Magnoliopsida; Malpighiales; Salicaceae.